Long non-coding RNA from Pollicipes pollicipes, 884 nucleotides. RefSeq lists it as uncharacterized. The transcript has 2 exons. NCBI's taxonomy places the organism in Eukaryota, Metazoa, Arthropoda, Thecostraca, Pollicipedomorpha, Pollicipedidae. The record is from RefSeq and is a predicted model, not a curated record.
ACUUCUGCCAGGGUUGAUAUUUCUUGGAAGACAAAAUUAAAUGUGAUGUAACACAAAACAUUGUAAUUUUGGCAAGCCAAAUUAAUUUGCUUUUGCCAUUCGGUUAUCAUUUUCCGCCUUUACCGCCGCCAAACAUUUCCCAUGCAAGAUAUGCUAAAACCGUGCUGAGUUUUGCAUGUAGUUGAAUCGUCCAGCAUCAGUAUCAAGCAAAUAUUUUUGUACAUUUCCGGCUUACGCCGAAGGGAUUUUAAAGUGAUACUGCGGAAAACAUGCCAUGCCGGCGAACAUCAGUGAGGUGCACAAGGAAGCCAAUAAGCUGUCCACCACCUUGUCCACCACCCUGUCCUCCACCCUGUCCUCCACCCUGUCCACCACCCUGUAGAAGCAGUUGCAAUUCCCCUUCAUUUUUGACGUCAUUAGCUAAUGGAGCUCUUGCGGUCUUUCAAGGUAUUCAGACAGUGGUGUGUCGUCUAACGUCGUGGUCACCUCCUCCAUGUCCUCCGAGAUGCCCACCGCCUUGCCCCCCGCCCUGCCCGCCGCCCUGUCCACCUCCUUGCCCGCCGCCCUGCCCACCGCCUUGCCCGCCGCCUUGCGAGCCAGAAGAAGUCCCUGGCUGCAACUGUCCGCCAAACCCAGCCAAGUACCUGCGUCGGCUGAAGAAGAUCCAAGACCAGGUGAUGUCGGCGCCCGCUACCAGGGUGGUGGUGGCGCUGCUGGCGUGCCGGGCUAUCCUACACCUACUUGGAGUCAAGGUCUGCUUCAUGAACUCUCUGUGAGCCGAUGGUAAAUCUCUCCGUGUCUUCUUUUCUGCCUCCACCUUUUUUGGCAUCACAAUACUCACGGGCGUGCAGUGUUUCUACUGAAUACAGUAAUUACUGUUUUUA